UAACCUACCCAUCAGAGGGGGAUAACACUUGGAAAAAGGUGCUAAUACCGCAUAACAGUUUAUGCCGCAUGGCAUAAGAGUGAAAGGCGCUUUCGGGUGUCGCUGAUGGAUGGACCCGCGGUGCAUUAGCUAGUUGGUGAGGUAACGGCUCACCAAGGCCACGAUGCAUAGCCGACCUGAGAGGGUGAUCGGCCACACUGGGACUGAGACACGGCCCAG
This 219-nucleotide ribosomal RNA is filed under the name uncultured bacterium. RNAcentral describes it as "partial 16S ribosomal RNA". It matches the Rfam family "Bacterial small subunit ribosomal RNA", at positions 122 to 334 of the family's 1533-position model. The record is from RNAcentral.